UGGGGAAUAUUGGACAAUUGGCGAAAGCCUGAUCCAGCCAUGCCGCGUGUGUGAAGAAGGUCUUCGGAUUGUAAAGCACUUUAAGUUUGGAGGAAGGGCAGUAAGCGAAUACCUUGCUGUUUUGACGUUACCGACAGAAUAAGCACCGGCUAACUCUGUGCCAGCAGCCGCGGUAAUACAGAGGGUGCAAGCGUUAAUCGGAAUUACUGGGCGUAAAGCGCGCGUAGGUGGUUCGUUAAGUUGAAUGUGAAAGCCCCGGGCUCAACCUGGGAACUGCAUCCAAAACUGGCGAGCUAGAGUAGGGCAGAGGGUGGUGGAAUUUCCUGUGUAGCGGUGAAAUGCGUAGAUAUAGGAAGGAACACCAGUGGCGAAGGCGACCACCUGGGCUCAUACUGACACUGAGGUGCGAAAGCGUGGGGAGCAAACAGG
Molecule: ribosomal RNA, 429 nt
Filed under: Pseudomonadota bacterium
Lineage: Bacteria; Pseudomonadati; Pseudomonadota
Description: Proteobacteria bacterium partial 16S ribosomal RNA
Rfam family: Bacterial small subunit ribosomal RNA
Source: RNAcentral